AGUGAACGCUGGCGGUAGGCCUAACACAUGCAAGUCGAACGGCAGCACAGUAAGAGCUUGCUCUUACGGGUGGCGAGUGGCGGACGGGUGAGGAAUACAUCGGAAUCUACUUUUUCGUGGGGGAUAACGUAGGGAAACUUACGAUAAUACCGCAUACGACCUACGGGUGAAAGCAGGGGAUCUUCGGACCUUGCGCGAUUGAAUGAGCGGAUGUCGGAUUAGCUAGUUGGCGGGGUUAAGGCCCACCAAGGCGAGGAUCCGUAGCUGGUCUGAGAGGAUGGUCAGCCACACGGGAGGUGAGACACGGUCCAGACUCCUGCGGGAGGGAGCAGAGUGCAACAUUGGACAGUAGUCGCAAGCCUGGUCCAGCCAUACCGCGUGUGUGAAGGAGGCCUUCGGGUUGUAAAGCCCUUUUUUUGGUAAAGAAAAGCAGCAGGUUAAUACCCCGCUGUUCUGACGGUACCCAAAGAAUAAGCACCGGCUAACUUCGUG
This 492-nucleotide ribosomal RNA is filed under the name uncultured bacterium. RNAcentral's name for it is "partial 16S ribosomal RNA". It matches the Rfam family "Bacterial small subunit ribosomal RNA", at positions 29 to 507 of the family's 1533-position model. The record is from RNAcentral.